This 314-nucleotide unclassified non-coding RNA is filed under the name plant metagenome. RNAcentral's name for it is "partial contains 5.8S ribosomal RNA, internal transcribed spacer 2, and large subunit ribosomal RNA". The stretch from base 1 to 105 matches the Rfam family "5.8S ribosomal RNA", at positions 50 to 154 of the family's 154-position model. The record is from RNAcentral.
GAAAUGCGAUAAUUAAUGUGAAUUGCAGAAUUCAGUGAAUCAUCGUGUCUUUGAACGCACAUUGCGCCCCCUGGUAUUCCGGGGGGCAUGCCUGUCCGAGCGUCAUUGCUGCCCUCAAGCACGGCUUGUGUGUUGGGCUUCCGUCCCUGGCAACGGGGACGGGCCCAAAAGGCAGUGGCGGCACCAUGUCUGGUCCUCGAGCGUAUGGGGCUUUGUCACCCGCUCCCGUAGGUCCAGCUGGCAGCUAGCCUCGCAACCAAUCUUUUUAACCAGGUUGACCUCGGAUCAGGUAGGGAUACCCGCUGAACUUAAGC